UGAGGAAUAUUGCGCAAUGGGGGCAACCCUGACGCAGCGACGCCGUGUGGAUGAUGAAGGCCUUCGGGUUGUAAAAUCCUGUCAGAUGGGAAGAAGUGUAGUAUGGUUAAGAGCUGUAUUAUUUGACGGUACCAUCAAAGGAAGCACCGGCUAACCCCGUGCCAGCAGCCGCGGUAA
RNAcentral lists this ribosomal RNA (177 nucleotides) under uncultured bacterium. RNAcentral's name for it is "partial 16S ribosomal RNA". It matches the Rfam family "Bacterial small subunit ribosomal RNA", at positions 355 to 523 of the family's 1533-position model. The record is from RNAcentral.